RNAcentral lists this ribosomal RNA (725 nucleotides) under fungal endophyte. RNAcentral's name for it is "eukaryotic LSU rRNA". The stretch from base 211 to 364 matches the Rfam family "5.8S ribosomal RNA". Lineage: Eukaryota; Fungi. The record is from RNAcentral.
UUAAUGAGGUAGGGUUCUCCCUCGGGAAGCCCGAACUCCCCACCCUUUGCUGUUGCGAAUACGUUGCUUCGGCGGGACCCCCCCUUCUGCCCCUCACCGGGCUGGGGGAGGGACCGGGCCUCCACUGGCCCGGGCAGCGCCCGCCGGGGGACCAAACCAACUCUUUUGUUAAACAAUGCAGUCGGAGUACAAUGUACAAAAUCAAAUUAAAACUUUCAACAACGGAUCUCUUGGUUCUGGCAUCGAUGAAGAACGCAGCGAAAUGCGAUAAGUAAUGUGAAUUGCAGAAUUCAGUGAAUCAUCGAAUCUUUGAACGCACAUUGCGCCCCUUGGUAUUCCGAGGGGCAUGCCUGUUCGAGCGUCAUUUCACCAAUCAAGCCCCGCUUGGUAUUAGGCGAUCUGGCCGGCCCCCCGUGGCCGGCCCGCCCGAAAUGCAUCGGCGAGGCACCGACCCCCGGCGUGUUAGAAUUUCUUUAACGUCGAGAGCACCGGUGAACCUCCGCCGUGAAACCUUUUUAAUAAAUUUCUAAGGUUGACCUCGGAUCAGGUAGGAAUACCCGCUGAACUUAAGCAUAUCAAUAAGCGGAGGAAAAGAACCAACAGGGAUUGCCUCAGUAACGGCGAGUGAAGCGGCAACAGCUCAAAUUUGAAAUCUGGCGCCUUUGGCGUCCGAGUUGUAAUUUGUAGAGGAUGCUAUUGGGUUGCCACCGGUCUAAGUUCCUUGG